AGUCACUGACAUUAGAUACCCGGGUAGUCCAGGGUGUAAACGCUGCAGACUUGGUGUUGGAAAUCCUUCGAGGGUAUUCAGUGCCGGAGAGAAGUUGUUAAGUCUGCUACUUGGGGAGUACGUCCGCAAGGAUGAAACUUAAAGGAAUUGGCGGGGGAGCACCACAACGGGUGGAGCCUGCGGUUUAAUUGGACUCAACGCCGGAAAUCUCACCGGAUAGGACAGACAUAUGAUAGUCGGGCUGAAGACUCUACUUGAUGAUCUG
Molecule: ribosomal RNA, 265 nt
Filed under: uncultured archaeon
Lineage: Archaea
Description: partial 16S ribosomal RNA
Rfam family: Archaeal small subunit ribosomal RNA
Source: RNAcentral